UUAAAGUGUCAAUAAUAAUAUAAUAUAAUAAUUUUAUGUAAAUGGUAGAUAUUCUUCUAUUGAAACUAGUGUAUUAUUUGAGCUGUAAAGUUCAUUUUUAUGGUCAUUACCAUGUUAACAAGUAUAUUGUUUACAUCUUGUGGUUAUACUAAUAAAACUGAGCAUUUUAUUAGAGGCCCCAUUUUUUUUUUCUUUCUUUUUUUUUGUAAUCAAUACUUUGCCAAUAACUUGUAUUGAACUGAACUUAACUUGCAUUGAACCUGGAAUAUUCCUUUAACCGUUGGAACGCGAUCCGGAAAGCUCUAGAAUGACAUUCUGUGUUCCUUGUUCUCCUGUGGCCCGAACCGAAGGCACUCUGCUCCAUGCUGAAUUUUCAGAGGGAGAGAGUUGUAGAGGAAAUGCCUGGUGGAAGCCAGGAAUCAGAAUGAUUCAUGAGUGCAGGAAUGCUGGGAGAGGACAACUCCAUGCUGAAGUCAGAGGGCCCAGCAGUGAGCUCUGAUUUACUGUUGAGGCAAAUUACAAAGUGAGUGAGGAGACGGCGGGGGGAGCCCCCUUUUAAAACCAAUCAUUUCCUCUGUAUUCCCACGUGAUGUGUUUACCACGACACGCAGGCUUGAUGUUUCUUUGGUAGAAAAAAAAAGGUAAUCGUUCUGUUCUUUCCUGAGGCGGUGUUGCCAUUCGUUGGCCGUCUUUUUUCAUAAAGUGCUCAGAUCAACUUGCCGAGCCAUCUUUCCUGUAUUCCUCUUUUUUUAUUUCAAGCUUUUGGUGUGAAAUUAUGUUUUGUGAAUGAAAAACAUCAGCAAAAAAAAACAAAAAAAACUUAAAGAGGAAACCAUGUUUAAUUGAUGUGAGCCAUCACUAUGUCUACAAAUAGCCCGUGAGUCAACCUGAGCUGGCCUGUUUCAUUCCUGUUGUCUUUUCCACUGGAUGUUAAUAAGAACUGUCCGCUAACGAUAGAAUGCCACAUACAGUUUGUAACCGUACGUGUUUCCCUUCUGUCACAGAUCACCUUUUAUAAAUAAAGUUCUUUUCCAUCCUGUA
Long non-coding RNA from Rhinichthys klamathensis goyatoka, 1041 nucleotides. RefSeq lists it as uncharacterized. The record is from RefSeq and is a predicted model, not a curated record. Lineage: Eukaryota; Metazoa; Chordata; Actinopteri; Cypriniformes; Leuciscidae. The transcript has 2 exons.